GGCACUCAAUCAAGAGAAAUCUGGAGGGAGUUGGAAACCAUCAAGUUUUUGAGGACACAAAGGGUGCAGAAAAGAUCGAGGAAAAGGGGUUAAUCAGAGUUUCUCCCUAUACCUGUCUUAGAAAUAACAGCAUAUUUUAAUCAGAGAUUUGU
This 152-nucleotide long non-coding RNA is filed under the name Sus scrofa (pig). RNAcentral's name for it is "lncRNA (ENSSSCG00035066126.1)". The record is from RNAcentral. Lineage: Eukaryota; Metazoa; Chordata; Mammalia; Artiodactyla; Suidae.